RNAcentral lists this non-coding RNA (45 nucleotides) under Schistosoma mansoni. The record is from RNAcentral. Lineage: Eukaryota; Metazoa; Platyhelminthes; Trematoda; Strigeidida; Schistosomatidae.
AUCCGGCUGACGAGAUCCAAAUAGGGCGAAACUCGUGUCCUGGAU